UGAAUUAUUGUUUGGUAUUGAAUUCCAGGAAAGACCCUUUGUUGAAUGGUCAGAGUCCAUUAGAUUAACGAUUGGAGAUAUUUUCUUUGAUUUAAUUGUGAAGAACACGAAGUUUGAUUCAAACAUAACAAUUGAUGGACCAAAGAAAAUGACUGAUGCUUUCUUUCUUGUGGAGAGGUCAAGAGAUGGUACUCGUAACUUAGAAGUCAGGGU
Long non-coding RNA from Ruditapes philippinarum (Manila clam), 213 nucleotides. RefSeq lists it as uncharacterized. The record is from RefSeq and is a predicted model, not a curated record. The transcript has 3 exons. Lineage: Eukaryota; Metazoa; Mollusca; Bivalvia; Venerida; Veneridae.